Small nucleolar RNA from Pelodiscus sinensis (Chinese soft-shelled turtle), 82 nucleotides. It matches the Rfam family "Small nucleolar RNA SNORD121A". Lineage: Eukaryota; Metazoa; Chordata; Testudines; Trionychidae. The record is from Rfam.
UCUGAAAAGACAGUGAUGCCUGAUUUCCAAGCACAUAGCUGACUUGCAUAUGCAGGCACUUUUGAGUCAGAGUCUUUUCAGU